Alligator mississippiensis (American alligator) is the source of this 955-nucleotide long non-coding RNA. RefSeq lists it as uncharacterized. Lineage: Eukaryota; Metazoa; Chordata; Crocodylia; Alligatoridae. The record is from RefSeq and is a predicted model, not a curated record. The transcript has 3 exons.
UUGGGAUCAGGGGCUGCGCAUAUAAACAGCGCAGUUUAGCUGCUAGAGGCUAGGUAACAACAUUGCCUGACUGGAGAGGUACUAAUAUCAUCUGGAGAUGGUUGAAUCAUCCUUAUUAGAGAAGUCAAGUGACUGAAUGGAUCUAGAGCAGGUUUGAGGAAAAGAGGGCAAGAAAGAUUUUUCUGCUGAAGCCUCCAUUAUCUGCAGUGCAGCCCAUCCUGCUGGAACAGGCUUGCUCCUUGUAAGUGGAUGAAGUGAAGAUUUAUUAUCAUCAGAACAUGUGGAAAUUAGAAAAUGGACUAAUGGAAACCAUUAAUGUCCUCCUCUCAACAAUCAGAUGAAAUGUAGAUCAAUACAGUGUAUUAAUAGAUUGAAAAUGAUUUAAUAUGGUAUAAACAUCCAGUCUCAGAUGGUAAAUGAGAAGAAAGAAAAGAAAGACAAGGACAGCACUCUUUUACAUAUUUGAAAGAUACAAACUACUCCCUCAAGACAUAUUUCCUGUCCAGUAUUUGGAUAUCUUUAAAGGAAUAAUAUUAAAGAAUUGAUUUGUAUCCUUCUAUACAACUACUCAACUUUGUUUGAUAUGAAACAGUUGAUUUCCUUAUGAAAGCAAGUUGUGUUGCAAACUUGUAACAAUGAAUAUAUCCUUUGUCACCUAUUCCACAGGUAAAAUAAUAGUAAUAAUAAUGGUAAUACCACUUAUAGUUUGCAAACAAAAAUUGUUACUUUCCUUAGUAUCAAUGCCUUCUUUGUUUGCUAUGUGCAUAUAACAUUGUAGAAAGGAAUGAUUAAAUAUGAUUGAUAUAACAGUUCCAGUCCCCACACACAUUCUACACAAACCUCAAAGGAAAACCUCAAAGAAGAAACAAAGAGAACUCCAAAGGAAAAUUACUGCAAAAGUACUUUGUGCUAAACUGGCAUCAGGCAUAAAAAUAAAAUAAUAUCUAUAAGUGAA